CGAAGGGCAUCAUAGUAUUAACAGGUGGUAAGCAAUGUGCGAGGUAGAUUACAUUGACAUGAAAGGUUGAGGAUUUUCAAAUGAUUUUGGAAAGGUUACGUGCCAAACAACCCUCUAAGAAAGGAACAUUUUCAUUGAUGAACAAACAAUAAUGUCUCGGACUGAUUAUCGAAGAACAUCAUUGUUAGAUGAUGUAAAAUACCAAGUUCUACUCUGGUUAUGUCAGUUUUAAAAGCACUUCAACAACCUGCUCCAGUGGAUGUUUCAAGUCCAAAGAAAAUUGAGGUAGAUAAGAAGAAAGAAGCAUGUGUUAGUACGACAAAUACACGACGUACUUUAAAGUUAUUGAACAUGGGAAAACACGUAUGUUGUUUCAUUUUAUGUAAUACACAUGUGUUUGCUUUUAACUUUGUGAGCAAUUAUUAGUUUUUCCAAUUUUUUCGUAAGAGUUAUUUUAGUUUUAACAUGAAUAUAUUUACAUCAUCGAGAUGCGUUAGAAACGCGUUAAAUUUCA
Long non-coding RNA from Xenia sp. Carnegie-2017, 514 nucleotides. RefSeq lists it as uncharacterized. NCBI's taxonomy places the organism in Eukaryota, Metazoa, Cnidaria, Anthozoa, Malacalcyonacea, Xeniidae. The transcript is spliced from 2 exons. The record is from RefSeq and is a predicted model, not a curated record.